Molecule: RNase P RNA, 377 nt
Filed under: Sphingosinicella sp.
Lineage: Bacteria; Pseudomonadati; Pseudomonadota; Alphaproteobacteria; Sphingomonadales; Sphingosinicellaceae
Description: RNase P RNA component class A
Rfam family: Bacterial RNase P class A
About the family: Ribonuclease P (RNase P) is a ubiquitous endoribonuclease, found in archaea, bacteria and eukarya as well as chloroplasts and mitochondria. Its best characterised activity is the generation of mature 5'-ends of tRNAs by cleaving the 5'-leader elements of precursor-tRNAs.
Source: RNAcentral
UCAGAGGGUCGGACGGCCGCCGCGCCAGGGUUCGAAAGAACGGCGGGGAGGAAAGUCCGGGCUCCACGGAUAGACGGUGCCGGGUAACGCCCGGCGGGGGUGACCCCAGGGAAAGUGCCACAGAGAGCAGACCGCCAAGCGGCUUCGGCCGGAAGGCAAGGGUGAAAGGGUGCGGUAAGAGCGCACCGCGCGACCGGCAACGGAAGCGGCACGGCAAACCCCACCGGGAGCAAAACCGAAUAGGGGCGGCGCAUGGCUUAUCCGGCCGGACCGCCCGGGUAGGUUGCUGGAGGCGGCGCGCAAGCGUCGUCCUAGAGGAAUGGUCGUCGCUGUCCUUCGGGGCGGUACAGAACCCGGCUUACAGAUCCUCUGACCGU